UUGUAUUUGUCAAUAAAAGUGGUUUAUUAUGGAUCAGUGAGCUAAGAUAUAUAUAUAUAUAUGUUGAAAACUUUAUGAACAAGAGAAAUACAAGACCAGAUAUUCGAUGAGAAGACGAAUACGGUGAGAAUAAAAGUAGUGUGCUGCAGUCCUGAAAAGAUUAGGGACAAACUAUGCUGCAAAGGUGAAGGUUCAAUCAAGAGUAUUGCAAUCCUGGAACCUGAAAAGCCUAAACCACCACCACCAAAACCCAAAGAACCCGAGAAGCCAAAAGCACCUGAGAAACCCAAAGAACCCGAGAAGCCAAAACAACCUGAAAAACCCAAAGAACCCGAGAAGCCAAAACAACCUGAGAAACCCAAAGAGCCGGAGAAACCCAAAGAGCCCGAGAAACCUAAAGAGCCCGAGAAACCUAAAGAGCCUGCGAAACCCAAAGAGCCAGAAAAGCCUAAAGAGCCACCAAAACCAUCACCACCGGCACCUGCACCGGCACCGGCACCGGCACCUGCACCAGCACCGGCUCCAGUUCCGUGUCACCCGCCGGUCGGGGUGUGCUGCAGGGAAUGUUAUGAGGGGCGCGGUGGGGGACCAUGUUACGAUCUUGGCUAUGGGCAAACGAGGCAUUAUGAUGGGUACUGUGGAAGGCCAGUGUAUGAGGGUUGGGCUGGCGGCUGCGAUACUAGAGGUUAUUACAGAAGUCGUUGCUCAGAUUACAUCUGUGAAGAAAAUCCAACAGCGCCUUGCACCAUCAUGUAAAUUCAUAUUACAUAUACAAAUCCAAUCCAUGCUACUGCCUACCGCCACCCACCAAUGAUCGUGAAUGGUGAUUGUCGGUGAUCAUGUCCUUUUCUUCUAGUUGCCUCUUGUAUGUUGUUGAUUUAAUCAUUUACUUUUUUUUUAUGAUGAUAAUAAAUAACAAUAAUGAUAUAGACUUUAUAGGAAGGAAAAUAAUAGCUAAAUAAAAGCAAGAUUGGUGGAUCCGUUGAUCAAUUUGUUGAUGCUACAAUUAAUUUAAUAAGAGGUUUCCAUUAAUAUUGAUUGCCUUUUCAAUUAAUUAUGCAUUUCCGAUUCCUAACCUUGUCCUUCACUUUCUGAUCGUGCACAUACGUAUGCCCUUUCUUAUUAUUUUAGUGAUGUCCUCCUGUUAAAGAUAUAUGUAGUCCGCUAGAGUCGCAGUCUUCUAGUUUUAUUUAAUGCUUUAUAAAAGGUGAGUAGUGC
RNAcentral lists this long non-coding RNA (1218 nucleotides) under Citrus sinensis (sweet orange). Its description in RNAcentral is "long non-coding RNA (CSIN_LNC000491)". Lineage: Eukaryota; Viridiplantae; Streptophyta; Magnoliopsida; Sapindales; Rutaceae. The record is from RNAcentral.